This 383-nucleotide ribosomal RNA is filed under the name uncultured eukaryote. RNAcentral describes it as "partial 18S ribosomal RNA". It matches the Rfam family "Eukaryotic small subunit ribosomal RNA", at positions 592 to 976 of the family's 1831-position model. The record is from RNAcentral.
CAAUAGCGUAUAUUAAAGUUGUUGCAGUUAAAAAGCUCGUAGUUGGAUUUCUGGUGGGAGCGAUCGGUCUGGCGCUUAGCGCGAGUACUUGCAUCGUCUCCGGCCAUCCUUGGGGAGAGUCUGUCUGGCAUUAAGUUGUCGGGCAGAGGAUCCUCAUCGUUUACUGUGAAAAAAUUAGAGUGUUCAAAGCAGGCUUAUGCCGUUGAAUAUAUUAGCAUGGAAUAAUAAGAUAGGACUUUGGUACUAUUUUGUUGGUUUGCGCACCAAAGUAAUGAUUAAUAGGGACAGUUGGGGGUAUUCGUAUUCCGUUGUCAGAGGUGAAAUUCUUAAAUUUAUGGAAGACGAACUACUGCGAAAGCAUUUACCAAGGAUGUUUUCAUUAA